UACAGAGGGGGCAAGCGUUAUUCGGAAUUAUUGGGCGUAAAGGACGCGUAGGCGGCUUUGCAAGUGACGGGUGAAAUCCCUCGGCUUAACCGAGGAACUGCCUGUCAAACUGCAUGGCUUGAGACCGGGAGAGGUGAGUGGAAUUCCCAGUGUAGCGGUGAAAUGCGUAGAUAUUGGGAGGAACACCAGUGGCGAAAGCGGCUUCCUGGUCCAGCACCGACGUUCAGGCACGAAAGCGUGGGGAGCAAACAGG
RNAcentral lists this ribosomal RNA (253 nucleotides) under uncultured bacterium. RNAcentral's name for it is "partial 16S ribosomal RNA". It matches the Rfam family "Bacterial small subunit ribosomal RNA", at positions 524 to 776 of the family's 1533-position model. The record is from RNAcentral.